This 394-nucleotide unclassified non-coding RNA is filed under the name uncultured fungus. RNAcentral's name for it is "partial contains small subunit ribosomal RNA, internal transcribed spacer 1, and 5.8S ribosomal RNA". The stretch from base 1 to 73 matches the Rfam family "Eukaryotic small subunit ribosomal RNA", at positions 1759 to 1831 of the family's 1831-position model. The record is from RNAcentral. Lineage: Eukaryota; Fungi.
GCAAACUUGGUCAUUUAGAGGAAGUAAAAGUCGUAACAAGGUUUCCGUAGGUGAACCUGCGGAAGGAUCAUUAUUGAAUAAACUUGGUGGGUUGUCGCUGGCUUUUCGAAGCAUGUGCACGCCUGCCGACUUUAUCCAUCCACCUGUGCACACUUUGUAGUCUUGGAGGAUUGAAAGCAGUCGACCUCGAUAGGCUCUUGCAGCCUCUGUCGGAUUGGGGGAAUGUCCUGCAAAGCUUGGCUUCCCCUGGGCCGUAAUCACCCUCUCUGACUAUGUCUUUUGUAUACACUACAUAGCAUGUUGCAGAAUGUAUGAAUGGGCCUCUGUGCCUAUAAAUGUCAAUACAACUUUCAGCAACGGAUCUCUUGGCUCUCGCAUCGAUGAAGAACGCAGC